Long non-coding RNA from Gymnodraco acuticeps, 344 nucleotides. RefSeq lists it as uncharacterized. NCBI's taxonomy places the organism in Eukaryota, Metazoa, Chordata, Actinopteri, Perciformes, Bathydraconidae. The transcript is spliced from 3 exons. The record is from RefSeq and is a predicted model, not a curated record.
CACCACGUAUACAAACCAAUCAGAGGCAGCUUAGGGCGGGUCAUUGCGUCUCUAUCCUAUGAAGAACAACCUAACUCUAUGGCGGAGAAAUCGAAAAGUAAACGUGAAACGUCUGUGUCAGCGCCUCAAUAAUGCCGUGACUGACAUUUUCAUCUGAAGCGGGAGGUCAAACGAGGAUCUGACUGUGGAUGUGGGAUACUGGUUUAAAGGAAGCACCAAUCGUAAAGGUUACCUGACAGAAUUCUGUGAGCUCCAUGGAAGCGAGUAUUUGGAAAUACUUAUGCACGUUUCCAUUCGAUGGUUGAGUCUGGAGAGGUGUUUGACUCGUACCCUGCAGCAGUAUG